RNAcentral lists this transfer RNA (81 nucleotides) under Paragonimus skrjabini miyazakii. Its description in RNAcentral is "Paragonimus miyazakii tRNA". It matches the Rfam family "tRNA". From Rfam's summary of the family: Transfer RNA (tRNA) molecules are approximately 80 nucleotides in length. Lineage: Eukaryota; Metazoa; Platyhelminthes; Trematoda; Plagiorchiida; Troglotrematidae. The record is from Rfam by way of RNAcentral.
GGCUUCGUAGCUCAGCUGGUAGGGCGCUUGCCGUGUUGCGGCAUGGUGUUUCUGUCGCUGGUUCGAAUCCAGCCGAAGCCC